Molecule: ribosomal RNA, 119 nt
Filed under: Helianthus annuus (common sunflower)
Lineage: Eukaryota; Viridiplantae; Streptophyta; Magnoliopsida; Asterales; Asteraceae
Source: RNAcentral
GGUUGCGAUCAUAACAGCACUAAUGCACCGGAUCCCAUCAGAACUCCGCAGUUAAGCGUGCUUGGGCGAGAGUAGUACUAGGAUGGGUGACCCCCUCGGAAGUCCUCGUGUUGCAACCC